Molecule: non-coding RNA, 59 nt
Organism: Apaloderma vittatum (bar-tailed trogon)
Lineage: Eukaryota; Metazoa; Chordata; Aves; Trogoniformes; Trogonidae
Source: Rfam
UAGCUCAGUCGGUUAGAGCAGGGUGCUGAUAAUACCAAGGUCGUGGGUUCGAUCCCCGU